RNAcentral lists this long non-coding RNA (294 nucleotides) under Ananas comosus (pineapple). RNAcentral's name for it is "long non-coding RNA (ACOM_LNC040394)". The record is from RNAcentral. Lineage: Eukaryota; Viridiplantae; Streptophyta; Magnoliopsida; Poales; Bromeliaceae.
GAAAAAAAAACAUUCUUUAUAUUUUGAAGUCUUAUAUGAUUAUAUACAGGUUAUACAGAAUUGAACGUUCAGACGCCUAUUUACAGAAAGAUCUAAAGUUCAGGAAGCUGCUUCUAUAUAUUUUAGAACAAGUCUAAAUUGUGAUGAUCAUAAAAAGUGACGUGGUGUUUUCAACCAAUCAAGUUAUUUAGGGUUCACUUAUCUCAUCAUGAUUUUUAAAAAUAUUUUUACCAUUCUUUUCUUUCAGAAAAAAGAUAUAAUUGAUUAGACAUAAAUAAUGUGGUAUUAUUGUUA